AUUGAACGCUGGCGGCAGGCCUAACACAUGCAAGUCGAACGAGUGGCGGACGGAUGAGUAAUGUCUGGGAAACUGCCUGAUGGAGGGGGAUAACUACUGGCAACGGUAGCUAAUACCGCAUACCAUCGGAUGUGCCCAGAUGGGAUUAGCUAGUAGGUGGGGUAAAGGCUCACCUAGGCGACGAUCCCUAGCUGGUCUGAGAGGAUGACCAGCCAAGCUGGAAUCGAGACACGGUCCAGACUCCGACGGUAGGCAGCAGUGGGGAAUAUUGCACAAUGGGCGCAAGCCUGAUGCAGCCCUGCCGCGGGUAUGAAGAAGGCCGUCUGGUUUUAAAGUACUUUCAGCGGGGAGGCGUUACCCGCAGAAGAAGCACCGGCUAACUCCGUGCCAGCAGCCGCGGUAAUAC
This 406-nucleotide ribosomal RNA is filed under the name uncultured bacterium. Its description in RNAcentral is "partial 16S ribosomal RNA". It matches the Rfam family "Bacterial small subunit ribosomal RNA", at positions 30 to 526 of the family's 1533-position model. The record is from RNAcentral.